Molecule: long non-coding RNA, 287 nt
Filed under: Pelobates cultripes (western spadefoot toad)
Lineage: Eukaryota; Metazoa; Chordata; Amphibia; Anura; Pelobatidae
Source: RNAcentral
GUGAAAAAUGCAAAAAACUUCACUUUUACUGGCGAUAUCAUUGUUGUAAUACAUUUUACUGUUUUGAAACACUAAUAUUUGUGUUCAGCGAAGUCUCCCGAGUAAAACAGUACCCCCAAUUUACAGGUUUUAUGGUGUCUUGGAAAGUUAUAGGGUCAAAUAUAGUGCUAGCAAAUUAAAUUCCCUAUACUUUCGGCAUGGGUUGUCAGGCAGGUCCCGCUAAUUGUAAUUAAUUAGGAUACCUAAUUAUGUAAAAAUAUUACAUAAAUAUAUGUGUAGAAUUAAUA